CUGGAGAGUGAAACUUUGUACUGUACAUCGAGUAAUAUGACUGUACAGUACUACAGAGGUCCUUUGGGCUUUUGACCAACAGAAAUCGCAGGAAUUUUAUUUCUGGAAUAUGACUUCAAACCAAAAU
Non-coding RNA from Caenorhabditis elegans, 127 nucleotides. The record is from Ensembl. Lineage: Eukaryota; Metazoa; Nematoda; Chromadorea; Rhabditida; Rhabditidae.